Molecule: long non-coding RNA, 567 nt
Organism: Clupea harengus (Atlantic herring)
Lineage: Eukaryota; Metazoa; Chordata; Actinopteri; Clupeiformes; Clupeidae
Source: Ensembl
GAGGCCUGAGUUCGCUUUUUUCGUCCUCUGCUUUUUCUCUUCAUCUGUUUUCUUCCGCUCCAGUCUCUCUCCUUCACUGGUAGCUCCCCUAUGAUGUGCCCCACAGAGGGCUCCCUCUCCUCCCCUCAUUGCCUUGCUACAUGUGUGGUGUGGUGUGGUGCAGUGAGUGGAGUAGUGUGUGGUGUGUGGUGUGGUGUGUGGAGUAGUGUGUGGUGUGUGGAGUGGUGUGUGGUGUGGAGUAGUGUGUGGUGUGGUGUGUGGUGUAGUGUGUGGUGUAGUGUGUGGUGUGGAGUAGUGUGUGGUGUGUGGUGUGUGGUGUGGAGUAGUGUGUGGUGUGGUGUUGUGUGGUGUAGUGUGUGGAGUAGUGUGUGGUGUGUGGAGUAGUGUGUAGUGUGGUGUAGUGUGUGGUGUGGUGUGGAGUAGUGUGGUGUAGUGUGUGUGGUGUGAUGUGUGGUGUGUGGUGUGGAGUAGUGUGUGGUGUGUGGUGUAGUGUGUGGUGUGGAGUAGUGUGUGGUGUGUGGUGUGGAGUAGUGUGGUGUAGUGUGUGGUGUGUGGUGUGGAGUAGUG